UACGUAGGUGGCGAGCGUUGUCCGGAAUUAUUGGGCGUAAAGCGCGCGCAGGCGGUUUCUUAAGUCUGAUGUGAAAGCCCACGGCUCAACCGUGGAGGGUCAUUGGAAACUGGGAAACUUGAGUGCAGAAGAGGAAAGUGGAAUUCCAUGUGUAGCGGUGAAAUGCGUAGAGAUGUGGAGGAACACCAGUGGCGAGGGCGACUUUCUGGUCUGUAACUGACGCUGAGGCGCGAAAGCGUGGGGAGCAACAGG
RNAcentral lists this unclassified non-coding RNA (252 nucleotides) under uncultured Caryophanales bacterium. RNAcentral's name for it is "uncultured Bacillales bacterium contains 16S-23S intergenic spacer region". It matches the Rfam family "Bacterial small subunit ribosomal RNA", at positions 524 to 775 of the family's 1533-position model. Lineage: Bacteria; Bacillati; Bacillota; Bacilli; Caryophanales. The record is from RNAcentral.